GCUCAGCCGCCGGAGAGGCAGGGCCCGCUGCCGUCGCUCAGGACCAUGUUGAGCUUGGGUGAAGAAUCGUUGUGAAACGAUUUAUGUUUGUGGGUGAAUCUCACUUGCAGUAUAUCAUUUGCUACUGGGGGAAGGGGUCAGAGGAAGAAGCCAGGAGUGGGUCUCCCAUCCUAUUUUACGAGACAGACUCUCUCACAGAGCCUGAAGCUCACAAUUUCAGCAGUGUUGGGUGGCAGCAAGUUCCUGAGAUCUGCCUGGCUGUGCACCCCAAGUCUGGAGUUAUAGACAGGCAUGUGACCCGAUUUUCCAUCGGUGCUGGGGAACUGAACUCCGCUCCUCACACCUGUACAGGCUUCUUGCUGUGCCCUGAGCAGCUGUGACCACCAGCACGGCCACAUGUCGGAGCAGGCAAGGGAGUGCCAUAGUCACCCAGCGCUGUGACCUGAGUGCUGAAGGAGGAGAGGACCGAGGCUCUGAGUCUCACAUUCUGGCCUAGGAGGAGGAAGAGGAGAGACCCAUUUGCCAGAGGGCUGAAGGUGGCCUUGAGGGCCAUGCUCUCGGUCCCAGGAUGCCCCUGCCUGAGCCCAGUGAGCAGGAGGGUGAGAGCCUGAGAGCUGGCCAGGAGCCAUCCCGUGGAGCUCGGAAACCUCAAGAGUCCUCUAGUCUGGUCCCGGCCAGGGACAAGGAGAAACCCAAGCCGACAGAUGUCAUGUCCCAGGAGACGUCC
Molecule: long non-coding RNA, 727 nt
Filed under: Rattus norvegicus (Norway rat)
Lineage: Eukaryota; Metazoa; Chordata; Mammalia; Rodentia; Muridae
Description: long non-coding RNA NONRATT005240
Source: RNAcentral